Molecule: ribosomal RNA, 119 nt
Filed under: Oreochromis niloticus (Nile tilapia)
Lineage: Eukaryota; Metazoa; Chordata; Actinopteri; Cichliformes; Cichlidae
Source: RNAcentral
GCUUACGGCCAUACCACCCUGAACACGCCCGAUCUCGUCUGUUCUCGGAAGCUAAGCAGGGUCGGGCCUGGUCAGUACUUGGAUGGGAGACCGCCUGGGAAUACCAGGUGCUGUAAGCU